AUGGCACAGGAUUAACGCUGGCGGCAUGCCUAAUACAUGCAAGUCGAAUGGUUAGCUUGCUAACCAUGGCGAACGGGUGAGUAACACGUAGGUAACCUGUCUUCAAGACGAGGAUAACCAUUGGAAACGAUGGAUAAUACUGGAUAGGACAAAUCCCCGCAUGAGGAGAUGUUUAAAGGAGCAAUCCACUUGAUGAGGGGCCUGCGGUGCAUUAGUUAGUUGGUGAGGUAACGGCCCACCAAGACGAUGAUGCAUAGCCGGACUGAGAGGUUGAACGGCCACAAUGGAACUGAGAACGGUCCAUACUCCUACGGGAGGCAGCAGUAGGGAAUUUUCGGCAAUGGGCGGAAGCCCUGACCGAGCAAUGCCGCGUGAAUGAAGAAGUAUUUCGGUGUGUAAAGUUCUUUUAUUUGGGAAGAAAAAACAAAUUGACGGUACCAAAUGAAUAAGCUCCGGCUAACUACGUGCCAGCCGCGGC
This 478-nucleotide ribosomal RNA is filed under the name uncultured bacterium. RNAcentral describes it as "bacterial SSU rRNA". It matches the Rfam family "Bacterial small subunit ribosomal RNA", at positions 19 to 518 of the family's 1533-position model. The record is from RNAcentral.